Molecule: ribosomal RNA, 229 nt
Filed under: uncultured bacterium
Lineage: Bacteria
Description: partial 16S ribosomal RNA
Rfam family: Bacterial small subunit ribosomal RNA
Source: RNAcentral
UCCGUAGGUGGAUAAUUAAGUCAGAGGUGAAAUCCUGCAGCUCAACUGUAGAAUUGCCUUUGAUACUGGUUAUCUUGAGUCAUUAUGAAGUGGUUAGAAUGUGUAGUGUAGCGGUGAAAUGCAUAGAUAUUACACAGAAUACCGAUUGCGAAGGCAGAUCACUAAUAAUGUACUGACACUGAGGGACGGAAGCGUGGGGAGCGAACAGGAUUAGAUACCCUGGUAGUCC